AACGAACGCUGGCGGCAUGCCUAACACAUGCAAGUCGAACGAGACCUUCGGGUCUAGUGGCGCACGGGUGCGUAACGCGUGGGAACCUGCCCUUAGGUUCGGAAUAACUCCCCGAAAGGGGUGCUAAUACCGGAUAAUGUCUUCGGACCAAAGAUUUAUCGCCUUUGGAUGGGCCCGCGUUGGAUUAGCUAGUUGGUAGGGUAAAAGCCUACCAAGGCGACGAUCCAUAGCUGGUCUGGGAGGAUGAUCAGCCACACUGGGACUGAGACACGGCCCAGACUCCUCCGCAAGGCAGCAGUGGGGAAUAUUGGACAAUGGGCGAAAGCCUGAUCCAGCAAUGCCGCGUGAGUGAUGAAGGCCUUAGGGUUGUAAAGCUCUUUUACCCGGGACGAUAAUGACAGUACCGGGAGAAUAAGCUCCGGUUAACUCCGUG
RNAcentral lists this ribosomal RNA (433 nucleotides) under uncultured bacterium. Its description in RNAcentral is "partial 16S ribosomal RNA". It matches the Rfam family "Bacterial small subunit ribosomal RNA", at positions 29 to 507 of the family's 1533-position model. The record is from RNAcentral.